AUUGAACGCUGGCGGCAUGCCUUACACAUGCAAGUCGAACGGCAGCACGGGGGCAACCCCUGGUGGCGAGUGGCGGACGGGUGAGUAAUGCAUCGGAACGUGCCCUGAAGUGGGGGAUAACGCAGCGAAAGCUACGCUAAUACCGCAUAUUCUGUGAGCAGGGAAAGCAGGGGAUCGCAAGACCUUGCGCUUUGGGAGCGGCCGAUGUCGGAUUAGCUAGUUGGUGGGGUAAAGGCCUACCAAGGCGACGAUCCGUAGCGGGUCUGAGAGGAUGAUCCGCCACACUGGGACUGAGACACGGCCCAGACUCCUACGGGAGGCAGCAGUGGGGAAUUUUGGACAAUGGGCAAAGCCUGAUCCAGCCAUGCCGCGUGAGUG
This 378-nucleotide ribosomal RNA is filed under the name uncultured bacterium. RNAcentral describes it as "bacterial SSU rRNA". It matches the Rfam family "Bacterial small subunit ribosomal RNA", at positions 29 to 407 of the family's 1533-position model. The record is from RNAcentral.